RNAcentral lists this ribosomal RNA (388 nucleotides) under uncultured bacterium. RNAcentral describes it as "bacterial SSU rRNA". It matches the Rfam family "Bacterial small subunit ribosomal RNA", at positions 28 to 417 of the family's 1533-position model. The record is from RNAcentral.
GACGAACGCUGGCGGCGUGCUUAACACAUGCAAGUCGAGCGGUAAGGCCCUUUCGGGGGUACACGAGCGGCGAACGGGUGAGUAACACGUGGGUGACCUGCCCUCAGCUCUGGGAUAAGCCUGGGAAACCGGGUCUAAUACCGGAUAUGACUCCAUGACGCAUGUUGUGGGGUGGAAAGCCUUGUGCGGCUGAGGAUGGGCCCGCGGCCUAUCAGCUUGUUGGUGGGGUGAUGGCCUACCAAGGCGACGACGGGUAGCCGGCCUGAGAGGGCGACCGGCCACACUGGGACUGAGACACGGCCCAGACUCCUACGGGAGGCAGCAGUGGGGAAUCUUGCGCAACGGGCGAAAGCCUGACGCAGCGACGCCGCGUGAGGGAUGACGGCCU